This 21-nucleotide non-coding RNA is filed under the name Caenorhabditis elegans. Lineage: Eukaryota; Metazoa; Nematoda; Chromadorea; Rhabditida; Rhabditidae. The record is from RNAcentral.
UGUAUUUAUUACAAACCCUAA